ACCAAAGUCUUUAACAAACGUGCCUGUCUUGUGGCUACAGUGAUUCCCAGAGUCUUAAUUGCUCUCUACCUUGGUAACCUCUGCUGUCUGGUAAUAACCCACAGACUGAAAGUGAUUUCCAGUUUCUCAGUAUUGUUCUGAAAAGGUGCCAAUGUUCUGGACUGAAAACAGUGAAACAAAAGGUCAUAUCGGGGAUGUCCCAAAAAAUCAUUAUAUAGCAAGGAAGACAGGACCAGAAAUCGUGUGGUAUGCAUCGGGUAGAAGCACAGGCUUGAGGAGCAGUGGAGGGAGGUGAACUACAUGAUCACAUUGGAUUAGUUUCAGCUACAGCCAGUGAAAAGCAUUAAUACAAAUGUUA
Long non-coding RNA from Protopterus annectens (West African lungfish), 358 nucleotides. RefSeq lists it as uncharacterized. The transcript has 3 exons. The record is from RefSeq and is a predicted model, not a curated record. Lineage: Eukaryota; Metazoa; Chordata; Ceratodontiformes; Protopteridae.